UUGUUUUUGCAUGGCCUCUGCGUUCAUAACUAUGAGUAAAAUAACUACAGUGGAUUUUACUUAAAUGUAUUUUUGUAUGUAGAUGAAGUAAUGAAUAUGUAUGGAGAAGAGGCCUCGUCGACCGUUCUAGAGGUCAAUGUCAGAUGAAUGAACGGCCAAUUUACUAAGAACCUUCAUUGAAUGUUUCACUUCCCUUUCUCCCAUUGAAGUUACGAAGCACAAUCGGAAGCAUAAAGGUUCAUAUUAUAAUGGCGAAAUUUACUGCCGGUUCCGCUUCUUGUGGGUGGAAACGCGUUAAUUUGUCAACGGUGCGAAUUAUUUUAACCUUAGAACAUUUAACCGCCUUCGUAGACGAAUCGUUUAUCACAACACAAAGCCAAUGUAAAUUUUGCACACUUUUUAAAUCUGACCAAGAAUGAGAAUAGGUCCUAGCCUAACCUCUAGAAUAAUAAAAAAAAUAUUUCGUGGAUACGAAUACCAUGUGUAGUACGUCAUACGUGUAACAAGUAGAUGCGCAAGAGUCGGUAGAGCAAGUGGAGCGCAGGGGGCAUGUGCGCGCGGCGUGACAGCUUGCCCGUCCAAUUGGUUGAGAUUGCAUGCUUCCGCCGGCCGCUUCCGGUCGAUAACAGCAAGACCGCUGGAGCGCCGGACUGGCCGUAGCGCGCACUCGCCGCAACGGUCAACGGUCUUGCUCAAUCACUUACAUGCAUUAAGCUUUCAAGCUAUUUAGGUCGUUCUGAGAUGCAAUUAUAUUAUAUGAUUACUUAUUUCUUUUAUGGCUUGAAAGUCACGUGUGUAGGUUAUAUUGUUUUACUGAUCAUAAUUAAAGAUUAAACACUUA
Long non-coding RNA from Manduca sexta (tobacco hornworm), 841 nucleotides. RefSeq lists it as uncharacterized. The record is from RefSeq and is a predicted model, not a curated record. The transcript has 4 exons. Lineage: Eukaryota; Metazoa; Arthropoda; Insecta; Lepidoptera; Sphingidae.